AUGGGCAUGCACGCGCGGUCCAAGUCCAACAGCAUGGUGGAGUCCCUCUACGCCUCGCUUGCGCGAGGCGAUGUGGCGGCCGUGGCCGUUCUGCUGGCGGCGGACCUGGACUGGUGGUUUCAUGGGCCGCAUAGGUGCCAGCACAUGCGGCGCCUACUAGCCGGCGAAGUGAAGGGGGCGCUCGCGUUCCGGUUCGCGCCAGCAAGGGUUGAAGAGGUUGGUGGCGCCGCCGAAGGCGACGAGCAAUGGGUGGUGGCGGAAGGCUGGGCGGGCGAGCAUGACUAUUGGGUGCAUGCAUGGUGCCUCCGUGCUGGCGUCAUCACCAGCUUUCAUGAGUACUUCAACACGUCUGUCACGGUUCGAAAGCUAGGCCAGCCAGCUAAGGAGGACGUGGUGUGGGCCAUCUGGGAGAGUCAGUCACCUAGACCCAGGGGCCGCUCCAUGCCAGGCCUAGUGCUUGCCAUAUGA
RNAcentral lists this ribosomal RNA (468 nucleotides) under Triticum aestivum (bread wheat). RNAcentral's name for it is "partial small subunit ribosomal RNA". The record is from RNAcentral. Lineage: Eukaryota; Viridiplantae; Streptophyta; Magnoliopsida; Poales; Poaceae.